Molecule: ribosomal RNA, 301 nt
Filed under: uncultured bacterium
Lineage: Bacteria
Description: partial 16S ribosomal RNA
Rfam family: Bacterial small subunit ribosomal RNA
Source: RNAcentral
CAGCAGCCGCGGGAAUACGAAGGGUGCAAGAGUUAAUCGGAAUUACUGGGCGUAAAGCGUGCGUAGGCGGUUUGUUAAGUCUGCUGUGAAAUCCCCGGGCUCAACCUGGGAAUGGCAGUGGAUACUGGCAAGCUAGAGUGUGUCAGAGGAUGGUGGAAUUCCCGGUGUAGCGGUGAAAUGCGUAGAGAUCGGGAGGAACAUCAGUGGCGAAGGCGGCCAUCUGGGACAACACUGACGCUGAGGCACGAAAGCGUGGGGAGCAAACAGGAUUAGAUACCCGUGUAGUCCCUGUCUCUUAUAC